Molecule: unclassified non-coding RNA, 210 nt
Filed under: uncultured Camarophyllopsis
Lineage: Eukaryota; Fungi; Basidiomycota; Agaricomycetes; Agaricales; Tricholomataceae
Description: sequence contains ITS2
Source: RNAcentral
AUCUAUCAACCCAACACAGAUUUAAUUCUGGUUUGGUGUUUGGAUAUGAAGGUCGCUGGAAUCAACAUCAGCUCCUUUAAAAUGCAUUAGCAGAACUUUGUAUCAGCUUCGGUUUGAUAAUAAUGUUAUCCGUGCUGUUGCUGGUAUACUCAGUUCAGCUUCAAAUGGUCUCACUAAUGAGACUGUCCAAUCUCUGGGCAUUAUUUUGAC